AGAGUUUGAUCCUGGCUCAGAACGAACGCUGGCGGCAGGCUUAACACAUGCAAGUCGAACGCUCCGCAAGGAGAGUGGCAGACGGGUGAGUAACGCGUGGGAAUCUACCCAGUUCUACGGAACAACUGAGGGAAACUUCAGCUAAUACCGUAUACGCCCUACGGGGGAAAGAUUUAUCGGAAUUGGAUGAGCCCGCGUAAGAUUAGCUAGUUGGUGAGGUAAUGGCUCACCAAGGCGACGAUCUUUAGCUGGUCUGAGAGGAUGGUCAGCCACACUGGGACUGAGACACGGCCCAGACUCCUACGGGAGGCAGCAGUGGGGAAUAUUGGACAAUGGGCGCAAGCCUGAUCCAGCCAUGCCGCGUGGAUGAUGAAGGCCCUGGGGUUGUAAAGUCCUUUUAACGGGGAAGAUAAUGACGGUACCCGUAGAAUAAGCCCCGGCUAACUUCGUGCCAGCAGCCGCGGUAAUAC
This 470-nucleotide ribosomal RNA is filed under the name uncultured bacterium. RNAcentral's name for it is "bacterial SSU rRNA". It matches the Rfam family "Bacterial small subunit ribosomal RNA", at positions 8 to 526 of the family's 1533-position model. The record is from RNAcentral.